RNAcentral lists this ribosomal RNA (474 nucleotides) under Colletotrichum siamense. RNAcentral describes it as "eukaryotic LSU rRNA". The stretch from base 130 to 283 matches the Rfam family "5.8S ribosomal RNA". Lineage: Eukaryota; Fungi; Ascomycota; Sordariomycetes; Glomerellales; Glomerellaceae. The record is from RNAcentral.
GUUGCUUCGGCGGGUAGGGUCUCCGCGACCCUCCCGGCCUCCCGCCUCCGGGCGGGUCGGCGCCCGCCGGAGGAUAACCAAACUCUGAUUUAACGACGUUUCUUCUGAGUGGUACAAGCAAAUAAUCAAAACUUUUAACAACGGAUCUCUUGGUUCUGGCAUCGAUGAAGAACGCAGCGAAAUGCGAUAAGUAAUGUGAAUUGCAGAAUUCAGUGAAUCAUCGAAUCUUUGAACGCACAUUGCGCCCGCCAGCAUUCUGGCGGGCAUGCCUGUUCGAGCGUCAUUUCAACCCUCAAGCUCUGCUUGGUGUUGGGGCCCUACAGCUGAUGUAGGCCCUCAAAGGUAGUGGCGGACCCUCUCGGAGCCUCCUUUGCGUAGUAACUUUACGUCUCGCACUGGGAUCCGGAGGGACUCUUGCCGUAAAACCCCCAAUUUUCCAAAGGUUGACCUCGGAUCAGGUAGGAAUACCCGCUG